Molecule: ribosomal RNA, 253 nt
Filed under: uncultured bacterium
Lineage: Bacteria
Also listed under: 1 other name
Description: partial 16S ribosomal RNA
Rfam family: Bacterial small subunit ribosomal RNA
Source: RNAcentral
UACGGAGGGUGCAAGCGUUGUCCGGAUUUAUUGGGUUUAAAGGGUGCGUAGGCGGCCCUGUAAGUCAGUGGUGAAAUCCCAGGGCUCAACCCUGGAACUGCCAUUGAUACUGCAGGGCUUGAGUUCGGUUAAGGCGGGCGGAACUGGUGGUGUAGCGGUGAAAUGCAUAGAUACCACCAAGAACCCCGAUUGCGUAGGCAGCUCGCUGAGCCGAAACUGACGCUGAGGCACGAAAGCGUGGGGAGCGAACAGG